Molecule: ribosomal RNA, 263 nt
Filed under: uncultured bacterium
Lineage: Bacteria
Description: partial 16S ribosomal RNA
Rfam family: Bacterial small subunit ribosomal RNA
Source: RNAcentral
UACGGAGGAUCCAAGCGUUAUCCGGAAUCAUUGGGUUUAAAGGGUCCGUAGGCGGUUUGGUAAGUCAGUGGUGAAAGCCCAUCGCUCAACGGUGGAACGGCCAUUGAUACUGCCAGACUUGAAUUAUUAGGAAGUAACUAGAAUAUGUAGUGUAGCGGUGAAAUGCUUAGAGAUUACAUGGAAUACCAAUUGCGAAGGCAGGUUACUACUAAUGGAUUGACGCUGAUGGACGAAAAGCGUGGGGUAGCAAACAGGAUUAGAAC